This 410-nucleotide non-coding RNA is filed under the name Pongo abelii (Sumatran orangutan). Lineage: Eukaryota; Metazoa; Chordata; Mammalia; Primates; Hominidae. The record is from RNAcentral.
GGAUCUCCGCGUUGGAGGAAGAGGGAGUCGAAAGAGGCUUCCACUGUUUGAAAAAGACCCAAUGGUGGUUGGGCUUCGGGUCACGUGACAACUUCUUUGUAGCUCCGGAAGAGGAUUGCGAAGUUUAGGUUUCGUGGAAGAAACCGAUAAUUGAGGGAAAAAAAUCAAGAUUUGGGGGAAUUACCUACAAAGAUGUAAGGUGUGUUAAUUUGGGCGCUUCUUGGAUUCUACCCUGAGGAGGAGGCGCGUGGUGAGAGGAGAGAUCUUGAUCUGCCGCUCGCUGAGGUUCAGCAGGUUGGCCAUCUCCACACGGCGAGGCCGGCACAGGUAGCGGUUAAAAUGGAACUCCUUCUCCAGCUCCACCAGCUGCGCGCUCGUGUACGCCGUCCGCGCCCGCUUGGACGCCGCCG